UCCUCAAUAGUUUCAAAUAAUUUCUAGAGGUUUUCUGAAAGAGAUUCUGCUAUGUGGUAUAGCCUUUGUUUUGACUGACAUUUAUCUACUAUGAUUUCCAGGAGUACAAUAUCUAAAGAUGGCAUAAAAUAGGUUGGUAUUGGUUAGCUGAAGAGAUGGAGGACCACUAAGAGAUAAUCUGCUAGUAUGUUUCCUUCUUAUUCCACUUCUCUUCCUUUUGUUGUCAAUGGUCUGUAUCAACCUCUUGGUUAAUAACUGAGGGAGAUCUCAUUAUACUCUCAGCAUCAGCUGGGAAUGUAGUUUACAGUAUAAAAUUAGAUCCUCACUUCUAUCUGUCCUUGCAUUCUUGUUUCCAAAACAGAGAUGAAGUGAACUACUGCUGUUCUUGGUAGUCUGUCAUAUUCUUUCUGAUAUUGUCCAACCAUAGAAAGGAGACAUAAAGGAAGACACGCGGAAAAUGAACAAUGUAAUCUAGAUUUGUAGGAGCAGUUCUGCAAAAAGACAGCAUAAGGACAGAUAUUUUAGAGUUGCACUAUACUUGGUUGACCAAUCAAUUUCCAUGUUUCUAUUCAUACACUCUAAUUUGGGCUUACAGGAACGGAGUAUCUCUAUUCUUUUAACAAUUCAAGUUAACAGCUGAUAUUUUGGCAUAGAUCCUGUGAGUUUAAGAAGAUAUGGAAUAAAGCCAACGCAUCUCCUGGUGGACACAAAGUCCAGGGAGAGCAAAGUGCAGAGAGAGCUUAUAGCAUCACUAAAGGAAGACUAUGGCUGUGUUCUGCUCAGAAAGAAGGCAAAUUGCUUCUGAGGGUUCAUAGCAAUACCAGGCAAAGUAUUUCACAGAUGUGGUACUGAAGCAUG
Molecule: long non-coding RNA, 858 nt
Filed under: Numida meleagris (helmeted guineafowl)
Lineage: Eukaryota; Metazoa; Chordata; Aves; Galliformes; Numididae
Description: lncRNA (ENSNMEG00000019038.1)
Source: RNAcentral